Molecule: non-coding RNA, 28 nt
Filed under: Homo sapiens (human)
Lineage: Eukaryota; Metazoa; Chordata; Mammalia; Primates; Hominidae
Source: RNAcentral
UUGAGGUCCAUUCUAGCCGCUGUACCCC